UGGGGACAAAUUUUCACGGCCCUGAUUGAUAGACCAGUGGCGGCCGAGGGCGGGGGGGGGGCGGGGCCCCCCGCGGGUGCCGGAGCCUGCGCGCCCGAGCUCGGCGUGGGGAGCGGCGGGGCGCUCGAGGCUCCGGGGCUGUGCUGUGCUACGUUCAUUCCGGGGUUCGCCCUGGAGGAGCGGCCAGGCCGGAGUCGCCCGCCUCGACGGAUGGAGAGCCGGGGGUGCAGAGGCCCUGUCCUGUCCUCGCCGGUCACGUGUGCACCUGCUUUUCUCUCGUGAAUGUGUUUAAAGCCUGGUGGGAGCUUUCUGUUCCUAGCGAGUGGAGUGCGAGUCCUCCCCGUGCCGGGGUUCGCCAGGAGUCAGCGAAGGCUCAGAGGGAGGUCAGUUCGUGGCUGCGCCUGGGGAGGCUGCCUCCUGGAUAUGUGUUCUGCCAUCACCUUCACCAGGACCUUGCAAAGCCAGUGUCUGUAGGGUGAGAUUCCUUGGAGAACGUGUUGUUCUAAGCAGGGGUUUGUUCAGCAGCCAAACGGAGCAAACACACUGCGUGGUCGAGCCAGGGCAGCCCGGCAUCUGGGCUCAGAGAGGCCAGGCUGGACGCAGGGCUGGUCCUGCGCCUUCCACAGGCCCUCAGCACGCACGCUGGGACCACUCCUGCCAUGAGGCACCGCCGCCCAGGUUCACAUUCUGCAAACUUCCCAGAGCUCUCAUUGUCCAGAUGUAGAUACCUGGAAUUGGCCACCUUGGUGGGCACUGUGGGCAAAAUGCCACAGGACCCCCUCCCCCUUCUAAGCGCCACAGCCGGAGAAGUGUGUCUGUCGGAGUCUCUGGUGCACACUCCACCGGAUGAGGCAGGACCACGAUCGGAGUCAUCCACCCACGUUCUGAGCAUUCGCAACUUCAGGAUGGCGUCUCCAGGGGCUGCAGCCCCCAGGGCCCUACUGGGCUCACCUACAGCAGCCACCGGGCACCUCAAGACCCUCAGAGCUGAAGCCCAGUGGCAUCUGGGCAGGGUGACAGGUCCUGUUUGUGACGAGAAGGAGCCACCUCUCAGAGCGGGCCCGGCUUCUGCUGCUGCGCUGGCGGCACGUGAUCCAGCCGACCCUCGAGACGUCCUGAAAGCCUUCUGAUCUUUUCACCCUGCGGUUCCAUCCGGGGUCGCCCUGAAGACGUCAUCGCGACACAGGGAAGCCCUGGACACGAGCACCCACUGUCGCAGCCUCAGUGAGAACUUGGAGCAGACCCACGCCCGGUGCCGGGGGCUUGCUUACAGGAACCCUGGUCGCUGGCACAUGACGUGGAACCAUGCUGAUUAAAUUACGCAGGCACCACUCAGAUUGUACAAAUUCAAUGACUGCGCUUCUGAGCGAGAUCAAAGUGUGGGCAGCGGCUAGAAGCAAAUGAAGGGAAAUCUGGGUCAGGCAGGGCUGGGCUGCGGAGUGACUUUCUGUCUUCCUAGCAGCAGAAAUCUCUCCUGAAACAUGACCGAUCCCUGCCAUGGAGCAAAGGCCGUCAAAGAAGCGACUGUCCAGGCUGCCGCCUGCUCGAGAAACGGGGAGUGUCUCAAAGGUUGGCGGUAAAAUGCGAUUAAAUGUACGCAUUUAUUUCAGUGCCAAAAAAAUUGCAGUCCAUACAUAGUGUUUUUGUAAUACUCCUUUUCCAUGUGUUAGGAAAAAAUGCACCAAAAUAAUACUAAUAAAUAAAUAAAUCAUAAUUCUAAUUCCA
Long non-coding RNA from Oryctolagus cuniculus (rabbit), 1725 nucleotides. Lineage: Eukaryota; Metazoa; Chordata; Mammalia; Lagomorpha; Leporidae. The record is from Ensembl.